Molecule: small RNA, 758 nt
Filed under: Parengyodontium album
Lineage: Eukaryota; Fungi; Ascomycota; Sordariomycetes; Hypocreales; Cordycipitaceae
Description: eukaryotic LSU rRNA
Rfam family: Eukaryotic large subunit ribosomal RNA (bases 535-758)
Source: RNAcentral
GGUGACCAGCGGAGGGAUCAUUACCGAGUUUACAACUCCCAAACCCAUGUGAACAUACCUUUACGUUGCUUCGGCGGAGCCGCCCCGGCGCCCGGAACCUCUUCGGUUUCGCGGCCCGGAACCAGGCGCCCGCCGGAGGCCACAAACUCUUUUGUUUUUACAGUUUCUUCUGAGUGUGCCGCAAGGCAAAAUACAAAUGAAUCAAAACUUUCAACAACGGAUCUCUUGGUUCUGGCAUCGAUGAAGAACGCAGCGAAAUGCGAUAAGUAAUGUGAAUUGCAGAAUUCAGUGAAUCAUCGAAUCUUUGAACGCACAUUGCGCCCGCCAGAAUUCUGGCGGGCAUGCCUGUUCGAGCGUCAUUUCAACCCUCGAGCUCCCCUCUUUUGGGAGAGCCCGGCGUUGGGGACCCGGCGCUAACACCGCCGGCCCCGAAAUGGAGUGGCGGCCCGUCCGCGGCGACCUCUGCGUAGUAAUAUCCACUCGCACCGGGACCCGGGCGCGGCCACGCCGUAAAACACCCCACCUUCCGAAUGUUGACCUCGAAUCAGGUAGGAAUACCCGCUGAACUUAAGCAUAUCAAUAAGCGGAGGAAAAGAAACCAACAGGGAUUGCCCCAGUAACGGCGAGUGAAGCGGCAACAGCUCAAAUUUGAAAUCUGGUCCCCAGGGCCCGAGUUGUAAUUUGUAGAGGAUGCUUUUGGCGAGGCGCCUUCCGAGUUCCCUGGAACGGGACGCCACAGAGGGUGAGAGCCCCGUCUG